AUACGUAGGGGGCGAGCGUUGUCCGGAAUGAUUGGGCGUAAAGGGCGCGUAGGCGGCCCGGUAAGUCUGGAGUGAAAGUCCUGCUUUUAAGGUGGGAAUUGCUUUGGAUACUGUCGGGCUUGAGUGCAGGAGAGGUAAGUGGAAUUCCCAGUGUAGCUGUGAAAUGCGUAGAGAUUGGGAGGAACACCAGUGGCGAAGGCGACUUACUGGACUGUAACUGACGCUGAGGCGCGAAAGUGUGGGGAGCAAACAGGAUUAGAUACCCUGGUAGUCCACACUGUAAACGAUGAAUGCUAGGUGUAGGGGGUAUCGACCCCUUCUGUGCCGCAGUUAACACAAUAAGCAUUCCGCCUGGGGAGUACUGCCGCAAGGUUGAAACUCAAAUGAAUUGACGGGG
RNAcentral lists this ribosomal RNA (397 nucleotides) under uncultured bacterium. RNAcentral describes it as "partial 16S ribosomal RNA". It matches the Rfam family "Bacterial small subunit ribosomal RNA", at positions 523 to 918 of the family's 1533-position model. The record is from RNAcentral.